RNAcentral lists this ribosomal RNA (515 nucleotides) under uncultured bacterium. RNAcentral describes it as "partial 16S ribosomal RNA". It matches the Rfam family "Bacterial small subunit ribosomal RNA", at positions 28 to 523 of the family's 1533-position model. The record is from RNAcentral.
GAUGGACGCUGGCGGCGUGCCUAAUACAUGCAAGUCGAGCGAAUGGAUUAAGAGCUUGCUCUUAUGAAGUUAGCGGCGGACGGGUGAGUAACACGUGGGUAACCUGCCCAUAAGACUAGGAUAACUCCGGGAAACCGGGGCUAAUACCGGAUAACAUUUUGAACCGCAUGGUUCGAAACUGAAAGGCGGCUUCGGCUGUCACUUAUGGAUGGACCCGCGUCGCAUUAGCUAGUUGGUGAGGUAACGGCUCGCCAAGGCAACGAUGCGUAGCCGACCUGAGAGGGUGAUCGGCCACACUGGGACUGAGACACGGCCCAGACUCCUACGGGAGGCAGCAGUAGGGAAUCUUCCGCAAUGGACGAAAGUCUGACGGAGCAACGCCGCGUGAGUGAUGAAGGCUUUCGGGUCGUAAAACUCUGUUGUUAGGGAAGAACAAGUGCUAGUUGAAUAAGCUGGCACCUUGACGGUACCUAACCAGAAAGCCACGGCUAACUACGUGCCAGCCGCCGCCGUAA